CAGCCGCCACGGUAAUACGAAGGGGGCUAGCGUUGUUCGGAAUUACUGGGCGUAAAGGGCGCGUAGGCGGCCAUUCAAGUUAGAUGUGAAAGCCCUGGGCUCAACCUAGGAAUUGCAUUUGAUACUGUUUGGCUUGAGUUCGGGAGAGGUGAGUGGAAUUCCCAGUGUAGAGGUGAAAUUCGUAGAUAUCGGAAGGAACACCUGUGGCGAAAGCGGCUCACUGGACCAUUUCUGACGCUGAUGCACGAAAGCUAGGGGAGCAAACAGGAUUAGAUACCCGCGUAGUCCCUGUCUCUUAUAC
Molecule: ribosomal RNA, 301 nt
Filed under: uncultured bacterium
Lineage: Bacteria
Description: partial 16S ribosomal RNA
Rfam family: Bacterial small subunit ribosomal RNA
Source: RNAcentral